Long non-coding RNA from Numida meleagris (helmeted guineafowl), 2398 nucleotides. Lineage: Eukaryota; Metazoa; Chordata; Aves; Galliformes; Numididae. The record is from Ensembl.
GGGGCCGUGACGAAUGGCUCAGAAAAGAGGGUGCUGUGAGAAACUGGAGCUGCGCUGGCGGAGUGGGUGGUGAGGACUUGGUGCGAGGGGCGAGGGGGGUCUGGGGGCUCCACGCAGAGCGGGGCGGGGGGCGGUGGGGGCCAGAGGCCGUGCGGGGCCUCUCUGUGCCUCGGGGAAGCUGAGGGUGGCGGUGCUGGCGUAGGGGUGCCCUGUACCCCCCACCCAUGGGGACACGGCCCUCCCUGCUCAUCCUGCACCUCCCUUGCUGGCUCUGUGUGGCCACCGGGAAAGGGCUGCCCUUCUGUGUCACCUCAUGAAUGCAUUGAGACACGGCCCCAGGCGGGGAUGGUGGAGGUGCUUGGGAAGGUGCAAGAGUGAAGUUAUGGUGGUUUGGUAGAGGGUUCCUUGUCCAAGGCUUGUAAGAGUGCUGAUGAGCUCCUGUGCCGGGUUGGUGUGGUCUGUGCCGAUGUCUCCAAUGGCUGCUGCAGCCCCUGAUGCAUGAAUGCAUCUACUCCCGCAGAGGGACCAAGGAACCAGCACGGAGUCCAGGGCUGGUGGCACCAUGGUGCAGAGGGAGCUGUGUGCCGUGUGCUGGAACCACUGUGCUGCUCACCCUUGGGAAGACCAAGACACACCUAAGGCAGUCAGAGCGAGGGCUGCACGUGGGAUGGCUCUGCUCACUGUGGCAUCCCACUCCUGCUCUUGGUGCUGUGGGGUCCAUUGCCGGGGUGCUCAGGGCCUGCAGGAGGACAUGAGGAGCAUCCCUGGUGUGAAUCCUGCACCGUGCCCACCCAACGCCAGGGCAGCUCCACCAGCAGCUCUUCGCUGCCCCUUUCUCCCACCCUGCUCCCUAAGCCCCAGCUCUCCAUCCUCAGCCCCAGGGAUGGAUCCUGCUGUCCUGCUGCCCACAGCAGGGCCCAGCCAGCAGCCUGCAGGGGACGGGCCUGGCAGGCUCCAGCAGCAGGAGGGCUCAUGCAUUACAAUCCAGUACAAUCUGUCCCCCUUCCCGCUGCCCAGCGGUAGGGGAGACGGUUACUGUUUAAUCCCAUUUGACAGCUCUUUCAUCAUCUGCCUGCCUCCCUCCAGCUUCCCCGUGGUUCCUCCAAGGCUCCUUUGUGGCCAUAAUCAAAGCCUGAUCAGUCUUCAUGGCUGCAUGGUGCUUGCUGAGCCUGUGGGAUCUGAUUGAAGCCGUGGUUUCCCAAAAGCUUGCCCUGAGGCAGCCUGCGGACAGGAGAUAGCAGAAAGGAUUUCAAACACAUGGCUGGAGGACUGGCACACAGCGUACGCUGGGUGGGAAGGACGCCAUUAACCCUCUGCUUGCCGCUGCCCUCCGUGGGCCAUCCCCGUUCCCCCAGCUGCAUGCGGGGAUACCCACAGAGGAGCAGAGGCUGUGCAUCCCCCUGGCUCCCCCUUCAGAUGACAUCUGCCCCAGCUUGGACAGUGCUGGGAGAUGCAGUCCUGCAGCUGCCAGCACAAGAUUGGCUCUGGGAAGGCAACGGCUGCAGUUCUAAGCUCUGUGAAUGCCCAGCAGUUCUUGCAACCCUGGGUAUCUGCAGGGUUCCCAGCCCCACAGGAGAGGCCGGGGUGGCUGGAUAACACUGAAGUGGGCUGUCAGCCUUUCAGAGGACACGUUUCAUGCUAUUCCUACUGACUUCAGACAGUGUUCUCUUCCUAACUGGCUGAUCACAUCACUGCUGUGUGCCACCUCUGCAUGUCCAGCUCCUGGCCUUUCUGCAGCACCGCAAUCUGCAGUGGGCAGAAGUCCCAGGGGCAGGUGAGGGCAGGGCACAUCACAGGGCAGAUGUGGGGUGAGCGGCAGGGCGUUGGGCGGGAGAGCAGAGCUGUGUCAUCCCAAGAGCCUGUGCCUGGUGUCAGCAGGAAGCGUCACAAAAAGCACAUUCAAUUCAGUGCCUGCUAUGGAGCUAACAGCCCCGUGUCACGAACAGCCUGUCCUCAAGCUGUGGGUCGCUGCAGUGCAAUGCUCACCCCUUGAAGGGGCUGCACUCUGGCUGGCCGGGCAAAUCUGCUGCGGGCACCCCUCGCUGCUGUGGACAUUCCUCGCUGCUGCCCUGUCUCUGGGGGAACCCAUGGGAGGCCCUGGCCCCGCAGCCUCAGAGCUGGUGGCUGUGUGUCCUCUGCCACAUCCCUGCUGCUCCUGCUGCACCUGCGCAGUGCAGCUCUGGGCUCUACUGCGGUUUUCUGCUUUCACUGAAGGAACUGUUCUCUCAGCUCGUGAUUUGUUCCCAAGCCUCGUUUUUUUCAUGAUGCAAUUUAACACAGACCAAGGACUUGAAGUACCUAUUGGCUUGGAGCCCACCCUAAAAGCCGUAAAAAGGAGAUAAAAGCCUUUAAAUGCUAAGCCUGUCCGAGGAGACAAUAAAAGGCAAAUGUCUUCCCA